This 115-nucleotide non-coding RNA is filed under the name Corynebacterium aquilae. RNAcentral's name for it is "TPP sequence". It matches the Rfam family "TPP riboswitch aptamer (THI element)". Rfam says of the family: Vitamin B(1) in its active form thiamin pyrophosphate (TPP) is an essential coenzyme that is synthesised by coupling of pyrimidine and thiazole moieties in bacteria. The previously detected thiamin-regulatory element, thi box was extended, resulting in a new, highly conserved RNA secondary structure, the THI element, which is widely distributed in eubacteria and also occurs in some archaea. RNAcentral also lists the same sequence under 1 other name. The record is from RNAcentral. Lineage: Bacteria; Bacillati; Actinomycetota; Actinomycetes; Mycobacteriales; Corynebacteriaceae.
ACACCCAUUCGCGGGAGUGACACCUGUUGUCGCUGAGAGGGCGUAAACGAUUGGAACGCCGACCGCCAGAACCUGUCCGGAUCAUGCCGGCGUAGGAAGGAGAUGGUGUGGUUAC